ACGGAGGGUGCAAGCGUUAUCCGGAUUUACUGGGUUUAAAGGGUGCGUAGGUGGGUAGGUAAGUCAGUGGUGAAAUCUUCAAGCUUAACUUGGAAACUGCCAUUGAUACUAUUUAUCUUGAAUACUUUGGAGGUAAGCGGAAUAUGUCAUGUAGCGGUGAAAUGCUUAGAUAUGACAUAGAACACCAAUUGCGAAGGCAGCUUACUACACAGUUAUUGACACUGAGGCACGAAAGCGUGGGGAUCAAACAGGAUUAGAUACCCUGGUAGUCCACGCCCUAAACGAUGGAUACUCGACAUUAGCGAUACACAGUUAGUGUCUGAGCGAAAGCAUUAAGUAUCCCACCUGGGAAGUACGACCGCAAGGUUG
Molecule: ribosomal RNA, 369 nt
Filed under: uncultured bacterium
Lineage: Bacteria
Description: bacterial SSU rRNA
Rfam family: Bacterial small subunit ribosomal RNA
Source: RNAcentral